Molecule: ribosomal RNA, 496 nt
Filed under: uncultured bacterium
Lineage: Bacteria
Description: partial 16S ribosomal RNA
Rfam family: Bacterial small subunit ribosomal RNA
Source: RNAcentral
GAUGAACGCUGGCGGCGUGCCUAAUACAUGCAAGUCGAGCGAACAGACGAGGAGCUUGCUCCUCUGACGUUAGCGGCGGACGGGUGAGUAACACGUGGAUAACCUACCUAUAAGACUGGGAUAACUUCGGGAAACCGGAGCUAAUACCGGAUAAUAUAUUGAACCGCAUGGUUCAAUAGUGAAAGACGGUUUUGCUGUCACUUAUAGAUGGAUCCGCGCCGCAUUAGCUAGUUGGUAUGGUAACGGCUUACCAAGGCAACGAUGCGUAGCCGACCUGAGAGGGUGAUCGGCCACACUGGAACUGAGACACGGUCCAGACUCCUACGGGAGGCAGCAGUAGGGAAUCUUCCGCAAUGGGCGAAAGCCUGACGGAGCAACGCCGCGUGAGUGAUGAAGGUCUUCGGAUCGUAAAACUCUGUUAUUAGGGAAGAACAAAUGUGUAAGUAACUAUGCACGUCUUGACGGUACCUAAUCAGAAAGCCACGGCUAACUACGU